Molecule: transfer RNA, 69 nt
Filed under: Dipodomys ordii (Ord's kangaroo rat)
Lineage: Eukaryota; Metazoa; Chordata; Mammalia; Rodentia; Heteromyidae
Rfam family: tRNA
About the family: Transfer RNA (tRNA) molecules are approximately 80 nucleotides in length. Their secondary structure includes four short double-helical elements and three loops (D, anti-codon, and T loops).
Source: Rfam by way of RNAcentral
GGGAAUGUGGCUCAGUGGUAGAGUGCUUGCUUAGUAUGCAUGAAGCCCUGGUUCAAUUCCUCAGUACCA